UCGAGAAUCUUCCGCAAUGCACGAAAGUGUGACGGAGCGACGUCGCGUGAUGGAUGAAGUCCUUAGGGGCGUAAACAUCUUUUAUGAGGGAGGAAGUUUAUUGACGUUACCUCAUGAAUAAGGAGUUGCUAAACUCGUGCCAGCAGCAGCGGUAAUACGAGUGCUCCAAGCGUUAUCCGGAAUCACUGGGCGUAAAGGGUCUGUAGGCGGUCUUGUUAGUCUGAUGUUAAAACCCGAGGCUUAACCUCGGAGCGGCGUUGGAAACGGCAAGACUAGAGGAUGUGAGAGGUUGUUGGAACUCAUAGUGUAGGGGUGAAAUCCGUUGAUCUUAUGGGGAACACCAAAUGCGAAGGCAAACAACUGGCACAUUCCUGACGCUGAGAGACGAAAGCGUGGGUCGCGAAUGGGAUUAGAUACCCCCGUAGUCC
This 428-nucleotide ribosomal RNA is filed under the name uncultured prokaryote. RNAcentral's name for it is "bacterial SSU rRNA". It matches the Rfam family "Bacterial small subunit ribosomal RNA", at positions 355 to 796 of the family's 1533-position model. The record is from RNAcentral.